RNAcentral lists this ribosomal RNA (482 nucleotides) under uncultured bacterium. RNAcentral describes it as "partial 16S ribosomal RNA". It matches the Rfam family "Bacterial small subunit ribosomal RNA", at positions 30 to 507 of the family's 1533-position model. The record is from RNAcentral.
AUUGAACGCUGGCGGCAUGCCUUACACAUGCAAGUCGAACGGUAACAGGUCUUCGGAUGCUGACGAGUGGCGAACGGGUGAGUAAUACAUCGGAACGUGCCCAGACGUGGGGGAUAACGAGGCGAAAGCUUUGCUAAUACCGCAUACGAUCUAAGGAUGAAAGCCGGGGACCGCAAGGCCUUGCGCGUUUGGAGCGGCCGAUGGCAGAUUAGGUAGUUGGUGGGAUAAAAGCUUACCAAGCCGACGAUCUGUAGCUGGUCUGAGAGGACGACCAGCCACACUGGGACUGAGACACGGCCCAGACUCCUACGGGAGGCAGCAGUGGGGAAUGUUGGACAAUGGGCGAAAGCCUGAUCCAGCAAUGCCGCGUGCAGGAUGAAGGCCUUCGGGUUGUAAACUGCUUUUGUACGGAACGAAAAGGCUCUGGCUAAUACCUGGGGCACAUGACGGUACCGGAAGAAUAAGCACCGGCUAACUACGUG